RNAcentral lists this ribosomal RNA (397 nucleotides) under Chanea suukyii. RNAcentral's name for it is "partial large subunit ribosomal RNA". It matches the Rfam family "Bacterial large subunit ribosomal RNA", at positions 1849 to 2578 of the family's 2925-position model. The record is from RNAcentral. Lineage: Eukaryota; Metazoa; Arthropoda; Arachnida; Araneae; Mysmenidae.
GGUGUAAGGCCUGCUCAAUGAAAAUUAAAUAGCCGCAGAAAUUUAACUGUGCUAAGGUAGCAUAAUCAUUAGAUUUUUAAUUAAAAUCUGGAAUGAAAGGAUUAACCUUUAAUAACUCUCCUAAAAUAAAAAUUUUAAAUUAUAAUAAAAAUAAAAAUAUUUUUAUUCUUAAAAAAGACGACAAGACCCUAUUGAACUUAACUUAAGUUAAGCUGGGGCAGCUUAUUAAAAACAAUUUUAAUUUAAAUCCUUAAAUAAGUACCUAAUACUAUUAAAUCAAACAAGUUACCAUAGGGAUAACAGCGUAAUUUUUUAAAAAAGUUCUUAUCUAAUAAAAAGAUUGCGACCUCGAUGUUGAAUUAUAUUCCUUUUUAAAGCAAAAUUAAAUAUAGGGGCU